UUCACCCGCGAAGAGCCACCGCCCACGCCGCAUAUCUCUUAUGCCCCGAUUCAACCGGCUCUCUUCUCCCCAAGAUUACAGCCCCGAUUGGAACGACUGGCGGCGACAGAUCGGGGGAGGUCGCCUUGCAGGCCGAGCUCGGAUCCACGCAAACAUCCCUCCCUACGAGGAUCCGACCCUCUUCUUCCCCCAAUUGCAGCGACCAGGGACGCCAGCUUGAAGGAGGCCGCCCCGCCGCCGAGCUUGGAUCCACCGCAUCAACCCGCCCAGCGAGCACCCUGUUGUCUUUUCCCCAACGCUUGGCGACGUCUCUCGCUCCAGGAAGGGGCUUUGAGAGAUGAAGAGGAAGCCACCCUUUCUAUGUCCAAAGCAAUGGUACCUAAAGGUUGUACCAUGCCAAAAACGAAAACACAAAACUGAGAAGCUGUCGAGCAUCACCAAAAGACUGGAUCUAGGUCUUAUGUUUCCACUUUUAGCAAAAUUAAAAAGGCAAGUACAAUAAUCAGAACCCAAGUCUUGAGUUUUUCAAAGAGACACAUACGAACAAGAAGACUGACAGCAUGAGCGAGCCGACACAUCUAGCCUAUAAUGUGACUGAAAAGAAAAGGGAAACACAAUCAGAAGGUGAGUAACCAGUGUGCGACUCAAUGAUUGUGGCUGAAGUUCUAAAGGAAGAAAGCACCCAUAGCACCUUCCUUUCCAGCAUGAGUUAUGCAUCAAGAUCCAAGAGAUUUGGGAGCUUUACUUCAUCAGCAUAGAUUUGAGUUCUAGAAUAAAGAAUUGAACAAAAGGAUGGUGAGGCGAGAGAUGCAAGGGACAGGCACCGAUAGGAGUUAGUGGCGAGACUUGAAGCACAAGCAAAGUGCAUUUGAAGAGAUGCGGAGGAAGCAACACGAAGAAUUUGAAUAUGUGAAGAAGAUCCAGCAAGAGAAGAAUGAAGCCUGGAAAAAGAAUUAACAAGAGACGAAUAACCUGAUUGGUUUUCUCUGAAGUGCUCAAGCAACUUAGCAGUCCCAAUCCAAACCUAAUGGUGCAUGAAGGCCAUACUUUUGCGAUGGAAAGAUAGUUGUUGAAUCAUAUAUUGCAAUCAUCAGGAUGACACAUGUGGUCUUUACUUAUCUAAUUAUUGCUUUUUAACUUGUCUGUUGUUGUCUCAAACUCGUGAGCUAGUGUUACUUUUUACUAUCAUUUAUGUUGAGAGGACGGUUGAGCUAAGGUGAUGAAGUAUAUAAUAUUGUAAAUUUAUGAUGUGAUUUGGAUCUUAACUUAUUUAUAUAAUGUGAUAUGAAUUAAAUACUUA
Long non-coding RNA from Triticum aestivum (bread wheat), 1300 nucleotides. RefSeq lists it as uncharacterized. The record is from RefSeq and is a predicted model, not a curated record. NCBI's taxonomy places the organism in Eukaryota, Viridiplantae, Streptophyta, Magnoliopsida, Poales, Poaceae. The transcript is spliced from 6 exons.